GGCAAGAUGGCCGAGCGGUCUAAGGCGCCAGCUUCAGGUUCCACAUCCAGCCCUCGGGUGGAAGCGGCUCCCAAUCUGCUGGUCUAGUAAUAGGCGUGGGUUCGAAUCCCACUCUUGUCA
Molecule: non-coding RNA, 120 nt
Organism: Trichodelitschia bisporula
Lineage: Eukaryota; Fungi; Ascomycota; Dothideomycetes; Phaeotrichales; Phaeotrichaceae
Source: the annotation of a GenBank genome assembly